This 164-nucleotide ribosomal RNA is filed under the name Koenigia phytolaccifolia. RNAcentral's name for it is "5.8S ribosomal RNA". It matches the Rfam family "5.8S ribosomal RNA". Rfam says of the family: 5.8S ribosomal RNA (5.8S rRNA) is a component of the large subunit of the eukaryotic ribosome. Lineage: Eukaryota; Viridiplantae; Streptophyta; Magnoliopsida; Caryophyllales; Polygonaceae. The record is from RNAcentral.
AGAACGACUCUCGGCAACGGAUAUCUCGGCUCUCGCAUCGAUGAAGAACGUAGCGAAAUGCGAUACUUGGUGUGAAUUGCAGAAUCCCGUGAACCAUCGAGUCUUUGAACGCAAGUUGCGCCCGAAGCCUUCGGGCCGAGGGCACGUCUGCCUGGGCGUCUCGC